RNAcentral lists this transfer RNA (73 nucleotides) under Chlorobiota bacterium. Its description in RNAcentral is "tRNA-Thr". It matches the Rfam family "tRNA". From Rfam's summary of the family: Transfer RNA (tRNA) molecules are approximately 80 nucleotides in length. Their secondary structure includes four short double-helical elements and three loops (D, anti-codon, and T loops). The record is from RNAcentral. Lineage: Bacteria; Pseudomonadati; Chlorobiota.
GCCAACAUAGCUCAGCUGGUAGAGCAGCUCACUCGUAAUGAGCAGGUCACCGGUUCAAGUCCGGUUGUUGGCU